Molecule: ribosomal RNA, 454 nt
Filed under: uncultured bacterium
Lineage: Bacteria
Description: partial 16S ribosomal RNA
Rfam family: Bacterial small subunit ribosomal RNA
Source: RNAcentral
GAUGAACGCUGACAGAAUGCUUAACACAUGCAAGUCUACUUGAACUUCGGUUUGGGUGGCGGACGGGUGAGUAACGCGUAAAGAACUUGCCUCACAGAUAGGGACAACAUUUGGAAACGAAUGCUAAUACCUGAUAUUAUGAUUUUAGGGCAUCCUAGAAUUAUGAAAGCUAUAUGCACUGUGAGAGAGCUUUGCGUCCCAUUAGCUAGUUGGAGAGGUAACGGCUUACCAAGGCGAUGAUGGGUAGCCGGCCUGAGAGGGUGAUCGGCCACAAGGGGACUGAGACACGGCCCUUACUCCUACGGGAGGCAGCAGUGGGGAAUAUUGGACAAUGGACCAAGAGUCUGAUCCAGCAAUUCUGUGUGCACGAUGAAGUUUUUCGGAAUGUAAAGUGCUUUCAGUUGGGAAGAAAAAAAUGACGGUACCAACAGAAGAAGUGACGGCUAAAUACGUG